Molecule: ribosomal RNA, 636 nt
Filed under: uncultured crenarchaeote
Lineage: Archaea; Thermoproteati; Thermoproteota
Description: bacterial SSU rRNA
Rfam family: Archaeal small subunit ribosomal RNA
Source: RNAcentral
GCGCCUGACGGUGAGGGACGAAAGCCAGGGGAGCGAACCGGAUUAGAUACCCGGGUAUUCCUGGCCGUAAACGAUGCAUACUAGGCAAUGGUGCGGCUAUGAGCCGCAUCAGUACCGUAGGGAAACCGUUAAGUGUGCCGCCUGGGAAGUACGGUCGCAAGGCUAAAACUUAAAGGAAUUGGCGGGGGAGCACCACAAGGGGUGAAGCCUGCGGUUCAAUUGGACUCAACGCCGGGAAACUUACCAGGGGAGACAGCAGAAUGACAGUCAGGUUGACGACCUUACCCGACGAGCUGAGAGGAGGUGCAUGGCCGUCGCCAGUUCGUGCUGUGAGGUAUCCCGUUAAGUCAGGCAACGAACGAGAUCCGCGCCUUUAUUUGCCAUCAAGAAGUCACGACUUUGUUGGGAACACUAAAGGGACCGCCGUCGAUAAGACGGAGGAAGGAGCGGGCAAAGGCAGGUCAGUAUGCCCCGAAACCCCUGGGCUACACGCGGGCUGCAAUGGUGCGAACAAUGGGCUGUAACUCCGAAAGGAGAAACCAAUCCCGAAAUCGCAUCUCAGUGGGGAUUGUCGACUGUAACUCGUUGACAUGAACGUGGAAUCCCUAGUAAUCGCGUGUCACCAUCGCGCGGUGA